RNAcentral lists this ribosomal RNA (512 nucleotides) under uncultured bacterium. Its description in RNAcentral is "partial 16S ribosomal RNA". It matches the Rfam family "Bacterial small subunit ribosomal RNA", at positions 28 to 507 of the family's 1533-position model. The record is from RNAcentral.
GAUGAACGCUGGCGGCGUGCCUAAUACAUGCAAGUCGAACGAAACUUCUUUAUCACCGAGUGCUUGCACUCACCGAUAAAGAGUUGAGUGGCGAACGGGUGAGCAACACGUGGGCAACCUGCCCAAAAGAGGGGGAUAACACUUGGAAACAGGUGCUAAUACCGCAUAACCAUAGUUACCGCAUGGUAACUAUGUAAAAGGUGGCUAUACUACCGCUUUUGGAUGGGCCCGCGGCGCAUUAGCUAGUUGGUAGGGUAAAGGCUUACCAAGGCAAUGAUGCGUAGCCGAAUUGAGAGGUUGAUCGGCCACAUUGGGACUGAGACACGGCCCAAACUCCUACGGGAGGCAGCAGUAGGGAAUCUUCCACAAUGGGCGAAAGCCUGAUGGAGCAACGCCGCGUGGGUGAAGAAGGUCUUCGGAUCGUAAAACCCUGUUGUUAGAGAAGAAAGUGCGUGAGAGUAACUGUUCACGUUACGACGGUAUCUAACCAGAAAGCCACGGCUAACUACGUG